UGUCUGCAUAUCUGAGGUCCUUUGGUGCCCCAGUGGGGAGCUUUUUCUGAAGACUUGGCCAGCCUCUGGGGUGCAGGUUAUUGGGUUUUUAUGCCUGCUCUACUGGAAGUUCCUGGCAAUUCAAGGCUCAGAUCCAAAUGCAUGAUCUUGCUGAAGCUUCACCCUGAGGAUUGCUGCCUUAAAUUGUCUCUUCCUCUAGAAUAACCCAUGGCUUGAAACAAUGACAAAUAGUACCUGCCAGUCACUCAGCCUCCAGUUACUCAGUUGCCCAUGUUUCAACAGACUGUCAAAUGAACCUGUCUCAUCUUCUUCUAAUUCUGCAUAUUGGCAUCUCUUCUUGUCCUCACUGAAAUACAGAGAAGCCCUGUCUGCAGAACAUGGUUGACUGUGGGUGCUCCAAAUCUGAGCCAAAUGAGAAUAGAGAAAAAACUGAAUUUGGAUCUCAGUGUUGCCUGUCCCUGCACAUGAACUCCUUGUAUUUGAGACUAUGCAAGGAGUAGUACCUCAUUCUGGUCCAUACCUGGAUUGUGGCGUCUCUCAGAGAGUGUUACAAGUGUUUUGUGAUGGGCUGGCAUGCAAGGCCAUAUUUGUAAUGCCAGUGCUUUUCACUUGUGGCUGUGGAAUAAAUGGGGUUCAAAUUCCAA
Molecule: long non-coding RNA, 644 nt
Organism: Lagopus leucura (white-tailed ptarmigan)
Lineage: Eukaryota; Metazoa; Chordata; Aves; Galliformes; Phasianidae
Exons: 3
Source: RefSeq, a predicted model, not a curated record